This 147-nucleotide long non-coding RNA is filed under the name Pongo abelii (Sumatran orangutan). Its description in RNAcentral is "lincRNA". The record is from RNAcentral. Lineage: Eukaryota; Metazoa; Chordata; Mammalia; Primates; Hominidae.
UCCUCUAAUAUAUCACAUUCUCUCUCUUCUCAGUCCUUUGUGCUCACCAUGGUAUUUGAUUUCUGAUUAUUCUUUCUCCAAACUAGCCCUAACUUGCAACUUCCACAUGCAGUCCUCCACAAUACUGCCAGAGCAACAGCUACAACU